Molecule: long non-coding RNA, 1489 nt
Filed under: Equus caballus (horse)
Lineage: Eukaryota; Metazoa; Chordata; Mammalia; Perissodactyla; Equidae
Description: lncRNA (ENSECAG00000050264.1)
Source: RNAcentral
CUAAUCGUAUCUUUUUCCAUCUCUUUGGAUAAUUGUUCUGCACCAUUGAUUGAACAGUCUUUCUUUUCCCUUCUGAAAUGCAAUGCCCUCUAUUACACACCAAGUUUCCAUAUACAUGUGGGGAUGUUCCUAUGCUCUCUGUUCCAGUUUUUGAUUGGUUAGCUUGUUCCUCACUUAUUUGUUCAUUUGUUCUUUUUGUCUCUUUCUGUGCCAAUGCCACACAAAGUCCUUUAAUUAUUAAAGCUCUAUAAGAAGUCUCUAUAUCUCAUAGUAAGAGGCACCACUUGUUAUUAUUAUUUUCUGAUUUGUCUCUGAUGUUCUCAGACUUUAUCUAUAGGUUUCCUAUCUCCAUGCCUUUGCUUGUGCUGUUCCUUCUGCUUGGAAUCCCUUCCCUAUUGUUCUCCAUAGAUGCAAAUCUGACUCAUUCUCAGGUCAAAUGCCAGCUCCUCCAAAAAGCCCUCCCUGACUGUCCUGAGUUGAAGCAAUCUCCCUCCUCUCUGAGCUCCCCUGUCGCUCAAUCUGUAUUUCGCUUUCACUUUUCACCAAACAACUAUAGCAUAAGCUCUUUGAGAGCAAGCUCCACGUCUGACUAAUCACUGACUCCCUGGAAUUCAUAAUACAGUGACUUUUAUACAGAAGACAUUCUAUAAAUACUGAUUAUGCUUAAAUACUAAAUGGUCUCUUUGUCAUUCAAUUUUUAUUCUAUAUUAACGCAGUAAUCUCAUCAGUGUUACUUUAACAUCUGUGAAUCAUUUUUUACCUGCAUGUAGUGAACCUCAUUUCCUCUAGCUCACCUUUCAUUUCCCUUUUCUCCUUUUUAACUAUAUUUGGCUCAGGUCUGUAACUAACCCCUAGUCAGCUCACAUGACGCCAGGGAAGCUGGCUCUAUGCCCAGCUUGAGAGGGGAGAUCCCAAGUAUUCCAGGCCAACCAAUGCAUGACUUUCUCUGAUAGCUGCUAUUGGUCUGCGAGUGGGUAUGAGACCUAAGUUGGCUCAUUCAGACUGAAGGGGAAGAUGGUUACUCCAUAGCAAGGGAUAGUUUCUCAUAGUCUCUCUGCCCUCCCCCAUCUUCCUCGACCGAUUGCACAUGAACAAUGAAGCAUAUAGCAAAAGUUAUCUAUUGCUGCAUAACAAAUUAGUUCAAAUUUCAGUGACUUAAAGCAAUAAUCAUUUAACAUCUCUCAGGUUUCUGUGGCUCAGGAAUUCAGCACAGCAUAGGGGGAUGGUUUGUCUCUUCUCUGUGAUAUCUGAGGCCUAAACUGGAAGACUCUGGGGCUGGGAGUUGAGCUCAAUCGAAGGUUCAUUCACUCUGCAGGUUGAUGCUGGCUUCCGCUAGAACUUAACGAGCUGUCGGUUACAACACCUACAUGUGGCCUCUCCAUGCCACCUGGGUUUCCUCCCACAUAGUGACUGUAUCUCAACGGCAAGUAUCUCAAAAUAUAGCCAUCUUACAACAAGGAGAGAGACAGGCCAAAAGCCAAGCGGACUC